This 254-nucleotide ribosomal RNA is filed under the name uncultured bacterium. Its description in RNAcentral is "partial 16S ribosomal RNA". It matches the Rfam family "Bacterial small subunit ribosomal RNA", at positions 524 to 776 of the family's 1533-position model. The record is from RNAcentral.
UACGGGGGGAGCAAGCGUUGUUCGGAUUUACUGGGCGUAAAGGGCGCGUAGGCGGUCAGCACAAGUCAGUUGUGAAAUCUCCGGGCUUAACUCGGAAAGGUCAACUGAUACUGUGCGACUAGAGUGCGGAAGGGGCAACUGGAAUUCUCGGUGUAGCGGUGAAAUGCGUAGAUAUCAGGAGGAACACCGGUGGCGAAGGCGGAUCUCUGGGCCAUUACUGACGCUGAGGAGCGAAAGCGUGGGGAGCGAACAGG